RNAcentral lists this ribosomal RNA (484 nucleotides) under uncultured bacterium. RNAcentral's name for it is "partial 16S ribosomal RNA". It matches the Rfam family "Bacterial small subunit ribosomal RNA", at positions 29 to 507 of the family's 1533-position model. The record is from RNAcentral.
AUUGAACGCUGGCGGCAUGCUUUACACAUGCAAGUCGAACGGCAGCGCGGGCUUCGGCCUGGCGGCGAGUGGCGAACGGGUGAGUAAUACAUCGAAACGUGCCCAGUAGUGGGGGAUAGCUCGGCGAAAGCCGGAUUAAUACCGCAUACGACCUGAGGGUGAAAGCGGGGGAUCUUCGGACCUCGCGCUAUUGGAGCGGCCGAUGGCAGAUUAGCUAGUUGGUGGGGUAAAGGCCUACCAAGGCGACGAUCUGUAGCUGGUCUGAGAGGACGACCAGCCACACUGGGACUGAGACACGGCCCAGACUCCUACGGGAGGCAGCAGUGGGGAAUUUUGGACAAUGGGCGAAAGCCUGAUCCAGCAAUGCCGCGUGUGUGAUGAAGGCCUUCGGGUUGUAAAGCACUUUUGGCGGGAACGAAAAGGACUGUGCCAAUACCACGGUUCGAUGACGGUACCCGCAGAAUAAGCACCGGCUAACUACGUG